GACGAACGCUGGCGGCGUGCCUAAUACAUGCAAGUCGAGCGGACAGAUGGGAGCUUGCUCCCUGAUGUUAGCGGUGGACGGGUGAGUAACACGUGGGUAACCUGCCUGUAAGACUGGGAUAACUCCGGGAAACCGGGGCUAAUACCGGAUGGUUGUUUGAACCGCCUGGUUCAAACAUAAAAGGUGGCUUCGGCUACCACUUACAGAUAGACACGGGGCGCAGUAGCUAGUUGGUGAGGUAACGGCUCAACAAGUCAACGAUGCGUAGACGACCUGGGAGGGUGAUCGGCCACACUGGGAAUGAGACACGGCCCAGACUCCUACGGGAGGCAGCAGUAGGGAAUCUUCCGCAAUGGACGAAAGUCUGACGGAGCAACGCCGCGUGAGUGAUGAAGGUUUUCGGAUCGUAAAGCUCUGUUGUUAGGGAAGAACAAGUACCGUUCGAAUAGGGCGGUACCUUGACGGUACCUAACCAGAAAGCCACGGCUAACUACGUGCCAGCAGCCGCGGUAA
This 513-nucleotide ribosomal RNA is filed under the name uncultured bacterium. Its description in RNAcentral is "partial 16S ribosomal RNA". It matches the Rfam family "Bacterial small subunit ribosomal RNA", at positions 28 to 523 of the family's 1533-position model. The record is from RNAcentral.